Molecule: long non-coding RNA, 1640 nt
Organism: Homo sapiens (human)
Lineage: Eukaryota; Metazoa; Chordata; Mammalia; Primates; Hominidae
Source: Ensembl
AUUCAGUAAAAUACUUUUAAAAAGCCUCAGGCAAGAACAUGAUUUUCCAGAUUAGGAGAAGGUGAUAUAAUAAUUAGUCAAAUGGGAAGAAAGGCGUUCCAAGAUAUCAUUUAUCAAAAUGGCCUUGGAUAACUCUCUUCAACCUCUUUGGUGCUGAGCUACUUCUAGAUAUACAUAGUUUUAGAAAAGAAUGCAUACUAACAUUAACGUUUUGAGAAAAUUUAUCAUGAUCACAGAAUCAGAUAUUGCUUAUAUUUUAUAGGGCCUAUCAGAAUGAAGAAACUGAAAUAUUUCCCAUCUAUGCAUCUAGAGGAGGGACAACAUGGCAGAGAUUCCUGUAAGUCUUGGGUUAUUUCUGAGUGCUGGUUAUCGUGGCAUCUGAAAAUGUAAAUAAGUGAUGUACCCUGUGGGGUAGCUCUGCUGCAGGCACCCCGGGGACCUGCUGGUGACCCUGCCCUUCUCCUGCUGCGAUCAUCCCAGGCCAGCGUGACACUCAGCAGCGUGGACGUCUCUCUGCAAACGCCCAAAUGCAGUGUAUGAAAUGUCAUCCCUAGAAAUGGCUUCAUUUGGGAUAAAGCUUUGAACUUGCGUGCGUGCCCCGCACCCCGUGGCGGACUGAGUCACUGCUUUGCUGUUGCGGCGUGGUGAGUAAAACUUUCCCAGGGGAGCCGGAGUUGAGUGAGAAAGGGAUGCAGGACACGCAGGAGCUGACACAUCUCUAUGGAUUUAAGUCGCUGUUUCCACAAAUGCUACUCACAUGCCCACACGUGUAGGGCAGGACUGUCACGCGUCCACUCUGCUCAGCUUUCCAGGCCGGAUCUGGUCCCAGCCAUUCUACCUGACCCAGACUCCCCGCACCCCUGCCAUUCCCCCAGCUGCCGUCCUGUGUCUCCUGAUUUCUGCGUUUUUGAUCCUGAGGCUCUCUGCCUCUCUGCCUCCUCCCUGGAGGCCGUGCAAAUCCUGUUCUCCUUCCAGCGGUGAGUUCCUCCUGCUGACCACCUCCCCCGAUGCCCUCCACGCUGCACACUGGGCUGGUCUGCAGAGGUCGAAUGCACUCCCUGGUGACUUACACAUCUCACAAGUGCCCUCCAUCACCUGCUUGUGAACUCCUGACCACAGCAGCCUACUCCAUGUCCCCCUGUGGAUGCUGCAAUGCCCAGCACCACACUGGUGGCUCAAAGACUGCAUGCCUGAGACGGGGUCCAAACCCCUCUUCAACUGUCCUCCAAGCUUCAGGUCCACCGUGACCUCCCCCAACUCUGCUGCAGCUGCCGUGGUGCCAGCCCCCUGCCCCUCUCCUCCACCUCCAUAGAUCAGGCUUCAGUGUCUGGGGACCUGGGGACUGCUGUCCUCCUUCCCAGCAUGAAGUUCUACUGCAAGGGCCACUCUCCCUGUACAGGCCUUCCUGACCCCUCGUCCCUGGAAAGCCCUCUCCAGGGCCCUCGGCCUCGCUGUCUCACAUCACUCGCCUCCCUACCCCACCUCCCUCCUCGCACCUGGGACGCAGGUGCCCUCCGGUCACACCCUUCCAUCCCGUGUGGUGCUGAGCCCCUCACACACACGAGGGGCCCCGGAAUCACCUGCCACGUGAAUAAACAAAGUCAGAUCUGAAAUGCUUAAAAGCAAAUUAAACUUAACUC